Molecule: long non-coding RNA, 663 nt
Filed under: Prunus persica (peach)
Lineage: Eukaryota; Viridiplantae; Streptophyta; Magnoliopsida; Rosales; Rosaceae
Description: long non-coding RNA (PPER_LNC007433)
Source: RNAcentral
GUCACUCAUGUCAAGGAUUAUCGAUCUAGGGUGUUUGGAUUGAUCAAGUCGUUGAAGUAUUUGGAUAAGAUGGACGCGGAGGAGAACGAGAGGCCGGAAUCUGAUGACGAGGAGGACGACGAAGAUGACGAGGAGGAUGAUCCUGGGAGUGGUGAAAUCGAUGGUGAGGAUCGGCCAUUUAGGAUGACCAAUGGCCACAGUGAGGCGGUUGAAGGUGUUGUUGAUGUUGAUGAGGAUGACGAGAGUGAUGCAGACGAGGAAGAGACUGUGACUGCGACGAGGGUGAAUGGACAAAAUCACCAGACAGCAAAUGGAUUUCGGGUUGCUGCUGUGGCUGGUGAAGAGGGAGAUGAGGAUGAGGAGGGAGACGAUGAUGAAGAGAAUGAUUCUGGUGAAGAAAUCGAUGAAGAGGAUGUUGAUGAUGACGAUGUGGUGGAGGUUCAAGAGAUUGAGGAUAGUGACGAUGAGGAAGAUGGGGUUGAGUAUGAUGAGGAGGAUGAUGACGACGAUGAUGAAGAUGACGAAGAAGAGGAGGUGGACAAUGAUGAAGGGGAUCUUGCAGAGCCGGAGAGUACAGGGAGGUUGACGAGCACGGAAGGAGAGAUUGAUGGACAUGAACAAGGGGAGGAUGAUGCGGAUGAGGAUGAUAAUGGAGAGACCGGG